AUGAGACAAGAAAAGUCCAGGCCUCAGGAGCUCCAGUCUUGCUGGGGAGGAAAAUCAGGCCACGGUGGAGCGUGGGCGGUCCCUGAUAUGUUCUGUCUACUUGGAUCACUGCCUUGGGCCAAAUGGAAAGGGACAAUGAGCAACUCUCAGGGGGAGGCAAAGAAGAAGCAGUUGCUGCCGGUGAACGUCAGACUGGAACUGAGGCAGGCGUCCUGUGAGGUGAGGACAGACCUUGCCUUUCUGUGGAGCUCUUCUUUCACCGGGUUCUCCGGGUAUCGGGUAUAUAAGCAGACCUUGGGGCUCCCUCUGAGCUAUCACACGCUGGGACUCUGUUUGAUUCAGUGAUUGAUUAAUUGAUUGAUUGAUGUAGCUAUACUCAUCUUUGGAGUACUUGGAAUAAUAGUAAUAGUGAUGAUGAUAAUAAUAAUAAUAAUAAUAAUAAUAAUAAUAUUAACAUGUC
This 460-nucleotide long non-coding RNA is filed under the name Canis lupus familiaris (dog). RNAcentral describes it as "lncRNA (ENSCAFG00030007766.1)". Lineage: Eukaryota; Metazoa; Chordata; Mammalia; Carnivora; Canidae. The record is from RNAcentral.